Molecule: ribosomal RNA, 1504 nt
Filed under: uncultured prokaryote
Description: partial 16S ribosomal RNA
Rfam family: Bacterial small subunit ribosomal RNA
Source: RNAcentral
AGAGUUUGAUCCUGGCUCAGAACGAACGCUGGCGGCGCGUUUUAAGCAUGCAAGUCGAACGGUAAUACAGUGCUUGCACUGUAUGAGAGUGGCGGACGGGGGAGUAACACGUAGGUGAUCUAUCUUGUGGUCUGGGAUAGCUUGUGGAAACACAGGGUAAUACCGGAUGAGAGCUGUAUUUUACGGAGUACAGGGGAAAGCCGCUUAGGCACCGUCCGGGGAUGAGUCUGCGGCUCAUUAGCUAGUUGGUGGGGUAAAAGCCUACCAAGGCAACGAUGGAUAGCCGGUCUGAGAGGGUGAUCGGCCACACUGGGACUGAGACACGGCCCAGACUCCUACGGGAGGCAGCAGCUAAGAAUCUUCCGCAAUGGGGGAAACCCUGACGGAGCGACGCCGCGUGGACGAAGAAGGCCGGAAGGUUGUAAAGUCCUUUUCCUGGGGGAGAAUAACGGCCGGAGGGAAUGCCGGUCAGAUGACGUGAACCAGGGAAUAAGCCCCGGCUAAUUACGUGCCAGCAGCCGCGGUAACACGUAAGGGGCAAGCGUUGUUCGGAAUUAUUGGGCGUAAAGGGCGCGUAGGCGGUUUUACAAGUCUGGUGUGAAAUAUCUCAGCUCAACUGAGAAAACGCGCUGGAAACUGUAAGACUAGAAUCUAGGAGGGGAAGCUGGAAUUCCUGGUGUAGGGGUGAAAUCUGUAGAGAUCAGGAAGAACACCGAUGGCGAAGGCAAGCUUCUUGCCAUGGACUGACGCUGAGGCACGAAAGCGUGGGGAGCGAACAGGAUUAGAUACCCUGGUAGUCCACGCCGUAAACGAUGUGCACUAGGUGUUGGCGGUAUAAGGUUCAGUGCCGUAGCGAACGUGUUAAGUGCACCGCCUGGGGAGUAUGCUCGCAAGGGUGAAACUCAAAGGAAUUGACGGGGGCCCGCACAAGCGGUGGAGCAUGUGGUUUAAUUCGAUGAUACGCGAGGAACCUUACCAGGGCUUGACAUAGACACGACGGCUGUAGAGAUACAGCUUCUCUUCGGAGCAUCUAUACAGGUGCUGCAUGGUUGUCGUCAGCUCGUGCCGUGAGGUGUUGGGUUAAGUCCCGCAACGAGCGCAACCCUUACUGUCUGUUGCUAACAGGUAGAGCUGAGGACUCGGACAGAACUGCCGGUGACAAACCGGAGGAAGGUGGGGACGACGUCAAAUCAUCAUGGCCCUUAUAUCCUGGGCUACACACGUGCUACAAUGGCCGGUACAGAGUGAUGCGAAGCAGCGAUGUGGAGCAAAACGCUUAAAGCCGGUCUCAGUUCGGAUUGGAGUCUGAAACUCGACUCCAUGAAGGUGGAAUCGCUAGUAAUCGCGCAUCAGCAUGGCGCGGUGAAUACGUUCCCGGGCCUUGUACACACCGCCCGUCACACCACCCGAGUUGGGGGUACCCGAAGUCGCUAGUCUAACCUGCAAAGGAGGACGGCGCCGAAGGUAUGCCUGGUAAGGGGGGUGAAGUCGAAACAAGGUAGCC